CGUCGAGGGACAAGAUGGCGGCUUGCAUGGGAAGUUCUGGCAACGUGACUCUGUGAUCCCAGCGCAAGUCGGAAACCAGCGGCGGGCAGAGCGCGGGCAGCGGCCAGGGGCCAGCGGGGUAUGUGUUAAUAAUGUGUUAUACGUGUGUUUAUUGAUGGGAAGUGGCUGACAGCGUGGCCCCCACCCUGGGCUGGAGGGUAAGGAGGGGAUUCUACUUGGUAUCCAUUUAAAGGGUGACUGCCUACUAAUGGCUAUAUUAUUAUUAUAGCCGCACUCCAAGGACUUUAUAGAGAUUUUCAAAUAAAAUUUAAACUUUUAUUUAAUCCAUUUAAAAAGUCAACGUUUCAGCUCCCACAUGGAGCUUUCAUCAGGAUGAAAAAGUCAACGUUUCAGCUCCCACAUGGAGCUUUCGUCAGGAUGAAAGUCAACGUUUCAGCUCCCACAUGGAGCUUUCAUCAGGAUGAAAAAGUCAACGUUUCAGCUUCCCACAUGGAGCUUUCGUCAGGAUGAAAAGCUCCAUGUGUGAGCUGAAAUGUUGACUUUUUAAAUGGAUUGAAUAAAAGUUUACAAUUUAUUUGAAAAUCUCUAUAAAGUCCUUGGAGUGUGGUCAUUUCUGCUAUGUCUACAUGAUCCUUGCCAGACCAGCACCGGGCACCACAGGAUUACACCAGGAGUGCAAGCCCUCGCUAUUUAUAUAUAGAUAUAAUCUGGUAGUUUACUAUCACCAUGUAAAAAGAUCACGCAGGGCUUUUUAAGACUUGUUUUUGAAGGUGUUGAUGUUGCUAAACGUGUUCCUGUCUAGUGGAAAUGUUACUUAAAAAAAAAAAAAAAAAUUUAUUUUAAAAAUGCAACUAGUGGCCACUAAUUUAAACUGAGUUCCACUACUGAAAUUUUAACCAUCGUGUGUGUAUUAGCCGGUGCAGCUUGUAAAAUGGAAUUUUACUUCUUAAAUUGUCUACAUGCCUUCUCUGCUCGAUUUUGUUCUCUCAACCAAUGGAGCAAAGUAAUGUCGCUGCCAGGAAGAUGGAGCUCCAUAUAGCUGAAAAUUGGGAAUUAAGUGAAAGUAAUCUAGCUGAAGUAUUGGUGUGACAGAUCAGUGUGGGCUACAAAACACACGUGACAGAUGACCUGGAUGGGUCCAAAAUUGCUAUAUAAAAAACUGGCAAAAAUAAAAAUAUCACACUACUGCAGAGUGUAUGUUUUAAAUGUUGCUAUAAAGGCUACUUUAGCAUAACCUCUGAUGAUUAAACACAAUCUACAAACCAUAGAUAGCACCCAGGAUGGGACGAAUAAAAUAAAUAGAGGUUUGGACACAACUUCUGAAGAAUAUUAAAGCAAAAAAAUCUACCCCUGCCGUAGUGAUGGAAUUCCGAAAUAUUGGUGAAUGAAAAAAAAUGUACACUAUUCCUUUCAUGGAACUUGGUAAUAUUACAUGAUUGUUUGGCCAUGUGUGACUUCUGCUAGCACUCAUACCAUCUAUAACAGCUAAUGUCAAUAGUAGGAUGUCCACAAGGUAUAUUGUAACAUCUGUUCAGAUCUUACACCCUACUGAACUGUGGAGGUAAUAGCACUUUUUAACAACUCAGUAAAAAUGCACCUAUUACCUUUUGCAUAACAGUACAGCCUGCUAUCUGAUGCACAUGGAAAAUGUCCCAAAGUCAAAUUCAUUCAGUAUGCACAGGACAACUGAGGAAGAUUGUGGAAUCGAUUAACUGGAAGCACAGUGGCCGUAAAGUUGUUUGUUAUAUUUUAGAUCAUUUCUGAACAAUACAACGUUUUCAAAAGUCUGAGAAUGUACGGAAAAUAUCUUCACUUUGUUGUUGUAGCACCAUUUUGUUCACUCACAAAGUAGAAUAUCCCUAAUAGAAAAGUCAAUUCCUUAUCUUGUAGUCAGCUGGGUCACUUUCUCAAGAUUGCGUGUGACCUAUUCAGAAGCAAACCAAAAGUGGAGAUGACUGCAGUAUAUGCUGUAUAGAGCAUUACCUGGGAAUAUACAUUAUUGCAGUCUUUGAAUGGAAAUUAAUUGCAAUGUCCUCCUACGCAUCAUGGCAAACUUGCUUUUGAGAUAUUUGACAAUGAAAAUAGUUGUAAUUACCCAGCUCAGUAAAGUUGACUUGAGUUUAAUAUGAAUACUAGCUGUUUUUUUCUGUAAUCAUCAAAUCUCACUUUGGAGUAACUAAACAAAAUUUAUUUGCACAUUAAUAUUAUAGCUACUUAAUUUAUUAAUUCAUAUUUGCAUUUUUGUUUGUGUAAUUAUUUCAGCUGAAUUCAUGGUCUUUUGAAGAAUCAAAUUUACCUACCUUGGGGCACAUUUCGUAGCAAAGACAAAAUGUCUAGCUACAAGCCUGUAGCUAUCUCUUCUUUCCCCAAACUUGGUGAAAAGAUAACGCAAGAUACCCUGUACUGGAAGCGUUACAAGGUAACAGAACUAUCUUUAUUUUAAUCAUUUCUGAACGAAAAGUUUUAAUUUUGUUUCAUUUUUGUGGUUACGUUUGUAUGUAGUUGCAGUAUGUAAAAGGAAACAGAAACUGAUAGUUUUGUAUGUGCUAAACAUGAUGUAGGAGUCUAUUUGCUGCAAAUCCUGAGGUUUGCAAGGGGUGGAUUGUAACAAGGAUAGAUAUGUAUCAAAGGACCAAAUGAUUUCCCUCUCCGUAAAAUCAGUACAAUAUCUCAAAGAUAACGUGUCACUAUGUAGUGCAGUGGUUGUCAACCUUUUUCUAACUACCGCCCAAUAAUGCAUCUUUCUUGAUGGAAAAAUUUCCUUACCGCCCACCAGUUUUCGUGCAAGUGCAGAAUAUUUUUUAGAAAGGAGGGUGUUUUUAAAAAAAUAUAAAUUACGUACAUUUAUCUUUAUUUCUAUUUAAUGCAUGUUUAUAAUGUUUUUAACUUUAUAAAGUUUAAUGAGAAAACAAAGUAAAUUGAAAUUACCUUUACUAGUGAUUAAUGAGAUCGUUGAGGCUGAUGCUGCAAGACUAAAUAUUUGAUAUCUGGUUCGAUUUUCGUAAGGAACAAACGAAGGUCUCCUCUUUCGGUGAUAUUCAGACGACUUCUCUGUUUGCGCAUAAUAUGAUUUCUCAUCUGUGCGUCAGCUCAUCUCUUCUCCAUCCUCAAUUCCCCUCUCCACCUUUUUCCCCCCAUUUUUUUUUUCUAUUUUUUAACCUUCCUUAUAGCAAUGCUCAGUAGGAAGGCUGAGCUAGGUAGCCCACUUACUAUAGCCCACUAUAACAGACAGGCUUUAACAGCGUGACCGGGCCCCCUGUUAUUACAGCACACGCUGGGAGGAAGUGACUGCAUGUCACUCCUCCCAGCUAACACACAGACCGCGCGGGUGGAAGACCAGGGAGUCAGAGUAGGAACUCUGACUCCCAUCCACCUGAGCCACCACUGGACCCCAGGGAAAGUCACCCUCCUGCACCUAAAAGGUAGAAACCGGAGGGUGACAAAUAUUUUGUGUGUGUGUCUGUAUAUAUGUGCGUUAUAUGUGUGUGUGUCUGUGUGUGUGUGUGUGUGUGUAUAUAUGUAUGUAUAUAUAUAUAUAUAUAUAUAUAUAUAUAUAUAUAUAUAUAUAUAUAUAUAUAUAUAUAUAUAUAUAUAUAUAUAUAUAUAUAUAUAUAUAUGUGUGUAUAUAUAUAUAUGUGUAUAUAUAUAUAUGUGUGUGUAUAUAUAUAUAUGUGUGUGUAUAUAUAUAUAUGUGUGUGUAUAUAUAUAUAUAUGUGUGUGUGUAUAUAUAUGUGUGUGUGUAUAUAUAUGUGUAUAUAUAUAUAUACACACACACACUCACUCCAGUGUAGCCCUAGGCAAUAUCCGGUUACACUGAGCACAAACACACACAAAGCACCCAUAUACAUAAAUGAUCUAUUUAUAUACAGCCAUAUGCAAUCAUUACAGCACCUCUAAAAGUGAAUGAAUAACAAGUGCAUUUUACGUUACAACCCGAGCAAAUAAAAAUUCUCCCCACAGCAGUGAAAAAUAUUAAACCCGGUGAAUACAUAUUUAUUUUUUAAAAAAGGGUUAAAUUGCAAUUGUAAAAUUUGCGGACACUUCCAUGUGCUAUGUAUUUAAUUAAAACUCCGUGCCUCCUAUUUAGCACCUUGUACCACAGUGCACCCUGACUGCAAGAAUUGGCGAGGUUCUAUCAUGGACUCUAACUCCCAACAUUCUUAGAAUGUUUGCAGCCAGUGCGUGGUGAUAGUAGCAGUUCACAAAGGCUGCCUUUCACCUGCUCCAAGCAAUGGCUGUUACAUUGUAACACGGAUGAAGGGGAAGAUUGGAAUAAUUAAAAAAAAAAAAAAAAUCCCCUUACCUGAUGAGAUUGAGGAUCCUGACAGACUGAAGUUACUAGAUGUCGCCAUCCCUGUGCUGGGACAGUAAAGUAAAGGCGGGCGGCGAGGGAGCACUUUCCCCUGAGCACGCUCAGCUCAGUCGCGCGCCGCAGAGUGAUGCUGGGAUGUCAUAUUCCGGCUCCUGGCAUUACUGCGGGUUGCGUGAGGGAGCUGAGCAGAGAGAGCUCAGGGGAAAGUGCUCCCUCGCCACCCGACCGGGGGAGCCCAAAGGUGGCCAGCUCUUGGGCUCCCAUAAAACGAGGCAAACAAGGUAAUUGCCUGGGAAUUUGGGGGCGGCGUUUUUUGCCGCCCCCUGGAAAUUGUCACCCGAGGCAAAUGCCUUGUUUGCCUCGUGGUACACUUCCCUGAUUGUAGUAGUUAUAAUCCUAUGAAUCUAUUGGUACAGUAUCCAAGAUUUGUCAGACCACAAGGUACUUCGUGCCUAUUUUAGAAUCUGUUGUGGAUCAAGCUGUAAAAAAGCUAGAUACACGAUGGAUUUUAAUGAAGUGUUCAUUUUAAAGCAUUUAGCUCUUUCUUACACAUCACUUUUAAUAGGUUUUUAUCUAUGGUAUGUGGUAGAAGCAUUUUUCUGUCCUUUAAGCAAGCAUACUUUUUAAGAUGUGGCUUUAUUGGUUUCGAUGAUGUUUGCAAUUUAAAUAUAUCCUGAUCUUUGUUGGCAUCUUGAAGAAACGUUAAAUGGAAAAAAGUUAAUCAGUGGCCAAAUACGAACAUGUGCUUUUUAUGCUUAAGAUCCUCCUGGUAUAGUUUCCCAAACUAUGCCCUUUAGAGGCCAACAUUUUUGGUUACUUUUAUUUUGUUUGUUCCAUCCUGGAUAUUGACAUUAAUUUUUUUUUUACUGCAAACUAUUAUUUAAAUAGCCAAGGGCUUUCCAUCUAUUUCUUUAAUUCUGGCAAAGGUUAUGUCUUACAUGACUGGUUAAUGAUGUAAAGAGAGCAGUAUAGUAGUAACACAUAAAAAUAUAUUUCUGGGCAACGCAAAACAUUAGUUUACACUAGAUGGCAUUUCAUUGCAUGUACAAGUAUUUCUGUUCUGUCGUGAUGGUGUAACCGUAAUUUAUAGCUUAUUUUAUCAAUAACUUUUUCAUGUAUUUUUAUUCAUUAGACACCCGUUCAGAUUAAAGAAUUUGGUGCCAUCACAAAAAUACACUUCUCGCCUAUACAGCCAUGUAACUUCGCGGUCACAUCCUCUACAAGGGUAAGUGUAAUUGUAAAGGUACUUCUCACAUAAUGGUAAACUUUUUUUUUUUUUUUGUACAAGUUUUGCUUUUAAACCCAAUCUUUAUAGUCCCAUUUUUAAAUGUAGGCUUUAGGCACCGUAAGUCCUCCAUCUCAAUGAAGUGGUUAUAGUGUCUGAAGACCCCUGGCACCAUCCAUCCCUCCAUUCAACGUUGGACAGUUUCAAAUGUUUUCAUGCUAAAUGAGUCCCCAACAACCUGCCCCCUAUGUGCUCCUUGAGUUAAUUAGGAAACAUUAGCCUGAACAGCAAUUGGCCUAUUACAGCCAUUCAUUGCAGGUAUUAAUCUCUACCCCACAACAAAAACAGAAUAGGAGAACUCUGAGAAUGAGCAAAAGCUCAGAGAAACCUCAGUAACUUGCCCUUCACUUAGUCCGCGCUUUCAGACGUGGAAUCGGUUUGAAAUGUAAAUAACAUAGGUUUGCUUUGUAAUUGCACAAUUGAGCUAAAAUCUUUGAGACCUGAGCAGUACUAACUGAAUGGUAAGAUAUUGAGGUUUCUGUGAUUUUUUUUUUUUUCUUUUUGAUUUUUUUUUUGGGGGGUUCCCAAAAAAUUGUUUUAAUUGCAAUUGGUGCCUUAGCCAUGCCUCCAGUGGGGCCUGGGAUGUGGGCAUACAGAGACCAUCAUUCAGUAUUUUACUGUUUGAAAAUAGUAUUGCAGUGAGUGGAACGGCAAUAGCAUAGGCACUAUUAAAUGAUUUGAAACGGUUAUAGUGUCUAGAGUGUCCCUUUAUCUACGCUCAUUCGUGUGAGCCAGUAAAUUUACCUAGCCUCCCUGUUUGCUGUCUGUAGGAUCAGUCCAAGAUUUCAGAUGUAAACAUACAUAGUUGCAUUUCUUCUUUCGUUCUUUGGAUUCUCUUUCUUGGUCUAAUGUCCUGAUGGCUAGCCAAGUAAUAAAGUUGAAUUUUUCUUCCUCCAGAUUCAUGUCUAUGGGCAGUAUUCUCAAGAACCUAUAAAAACCUUCUCCCGCUUCAAAGAUACCGCUUAUGGUGGUACAUAUCGAGAUGAUGGCAAGCUGCUUGUCGCAGGCUGUGAAGAUGGAGUUGUUCAGCUCUUUGACAUCAAUGGAAAAGCUGCUCUUAGACAGUUUUACGGUCAUAACAAGUAGGUAUUAUUGGUUUUAGUAUGAAAUGUCACAGAACGUAUUUUCGGUAGACCGUUUUGCCACAGUUUAUCCUCUAACCUGGGUUCCUGCUAGUCGUCGAACCUCCUAUAAACCUGUUGGUACCCAUCAGGCUUCUGCAGAAGAUGUCAAUCAUUCUUUGGUGGAGAGUAUCAUCUGAUCGCUCUCAGCUAAUGAAUAAAACUCUGUGCAUGGAAUAUGCACAGAAUUUACAUUCCAAACUGACUAUACUGCUGCAGGUUGAGUUACACCUCAAGCAGCAAAAUAAAAUAUCUGUGUGUAGAGUUUCUAAAAUGCUGCACAUACAGACUCCAGUGUUUUGAAGUCAUUAUGGUGCUUGAAGCAACACUUUAAAAGAAAAAGAAAAAAUUAUUUCGAUAAUUACAUCUUGGCAGACAUUCCCACAGAAUUAUCCUUCCCAGAAGAGAACACUGGCAAUGACUAACCAUACCCAAAUUUCACAUGCUGCCCAGCCAGCCUUAACACUUCUGGGUGAUAUUAUGUUCGAUGUUUAUGUUAAGAAUCACUAAGAAUACCUAUUGGCGCAGAGUUCAUAUUUACUGAGCUGUCAGAAGCAGGUAGAUUACUUUUAUAUGGAUCAGAGAGAUAGACCAUACUAGAUUUUAUGAUUAACUUCAUUGUGGGUUUUGUAUUUCUUUAGUUACUGGCAAUAUGUUUCUUAACAUUCUUAUUAACCGGCAGUACAGUUGAAUUUCUAGGAUCCCAUUACCUUGUGUACAAGAUUCAACUUCGCUUAGUGUAUCGAUGUGCAGUGAAUUUUGCAUUAUUCUAUUGUGGGGCCCUUGAUGGUGCACACUAUGGUAUUGGGUAACCGGAAUAUAAAAGACUUUAUUAACUAAACACUGAAUUGUAAUGAAUUGAAAACCAUUUGGGGAAAAACAAAAAAAUUUAAAAUAUAUAUAUUUUUCUCCUAAAUAUGAAAAAUCCUCUGUUUCCUGUUCUCAUAUUUAGGACUGAAAUUCGAACUUCACUCUGAAUGCUUCAUCAUUAUUUUAUUGAAUUACCCUGUUAUUGUCCAUUGUACCUUCAUUAGACAGAUUGGUUUAAAAUAAACUUCUUUACUGGAAAAAGACCGCAUGAAUGCCUAAAAGUAAAAAUAAUUAAAGGAGUUCUGUGUAACAAUGCUGUUUUGUGCGUUUGCUUUCAGAUCAGUACAUUUUGUGGACUUCACAUCUGAUAAGUAUCGGAUACUGUCCGGUUCUGAUGAUUAUUCUUCCAAGAUUUGGGACAUUCCAAAUGGAGCUGAGAUUGUAAACUACAAGGAGCAUACAGAUUAUGUGCGAUGCGGCUGUACCAGCAAACUGAAUGAAGAUCUAUUUGUAACCGGUAUAUUUUAUUUUUUUAAUUUAAAAAAAUAAUCUGUUUGAAUGUUAGUUAGCAGCUACAUUGCCCACAUGCAGACUUAGUAGCUAAACAAAUUUUUAUCACUGCAGUUAAUGGUUAAACAUUUCACUGCUUGAUGGGGGCGUGGCCUUACUGCUAAUGGCGCCAGACGUGUAAGUCUGAAGCUCCGAGUUAGCUGAAACCUCCACACUGCAUGCCACAGUGAUGCAAGCGAAUCUGGGCUUACUGGUCUCACCGCUGAACGGAGACUUAAGAUGACCCACUAAUCCUGGGAUAUUGCCCUAUAUCCCCAUACUUAUUCCUGUGUCUGUCCCUUCCUAACUCAUUGCCUUUCUUCCAGAGGGCUUUGGAGCCCACACACUGUUAUCAAAGAAACACAAAUUAUAAACUGAGUGAUAUUAAUAGUGAAAGGUUUGACUGUUCCAUGUGUGCUGCAGUUAAAUUCAUGAUCUUUUCUUUGUACUUUUACAGGGUCAUAUGAUCAUACUAUCAAAGUGUUUGAUACGCGAACGGAAAAGAGUGUGUUGACAAUGGAUCAUGAGCAGCCAGUAGAAAGUGUGCUUCUUUUUCCUUCUGGGGGUCUUCUUGUUUCAGCUGGUGAGUAAUUGUUCCAGUUUGUGUAUAAAAAGAAUGUACAUGCCCACUGGAAUCCAGGAGGUCAGAGAUUCAAUCUUUUAAGCAGUGUUUACGACUCUGCAAUGAUCCUCCAAACUUUACAAACUCAAGCUGUAAUCAUCUGUCCUGUGACUCAUAAAGGUUUGUAAACUGCUAUGUUUACAUUGAGGGUUAAUCCAGCCUCUAGUGGCUGUCUCCCUGACAGCCACUAGAGGCCGCUUCCACGAUUCUCAAUGCGAAAAUCGCAUUGAACUCGCACUGGCCGUUUGAAUGUGCACACGGCUCUGGCCGUGCAUUUGGAACAGGGGGAGGAGAGGUCACCGGUGCUGGAGAAAGGUAAGUGGCUGAAGAAGUUUUAUCCCCUUCAGCCCAGUGGUAGGAUGCCCUGAGGGAAGGGGGGACCUAAUAACCCGAGUUUGUUUUCCUAGCACUAUAGUGGUCCUUUAAUGAUCCAUUCUUUAACUGUUUAAUUAAACUUAUAUGAAUACAAAAAAGAAAAGAAAAAAACUACCAUAAAGUGUCUCAACAUUUUGGUAAAUAUGGUCACAAUAAAAUGGGCAUAAAAAAAUAACUUUUAAUGGAUAUAUUAAAAUGUAAAAUAGAAAAGAUAAAAGCAAAACAAAAAGCACAAGGCUACAAAAUAAUGUCCUAUAAACUAGUUGGGGUAUUAAACCUUUAAUAGAACCAAUAGCAAGAGAAGUGUUGCUUCAAAGAAAUACUUAUUGGUGUAAAGUAAAACUACAUGCUAUGAACAAUGUAACUGAAUUCUAAAUAGAAAAGUGGGAUACUAGUAUCUUCAAAACUCUUCCUGCAGAACAGGGUAGGUUGAAUAUAGAUGAAAUGCCUCUAGUGCACAAGGGGUUAAACAGCACAACAGUUGGUUGCAAUGGUUAAUAGAAAAGAGGCAGGGAAUACCUGUAAAAUAAAGAGGUAUAGGAGACAGUUGCAAGCUAGGUUAGAUAUAAUGGUCAGUAGAAAUAUAGAGACUAUAGGUAAUCCUGACGCUUGCUAGCAAGAGAGGUGUAAAUACAAAGAUACUUAAUAGUAAAAAGUUAAGCCACUUUCUAUAAACAAUGUCAGUGAAUUCAAGAUGGGAGGGUGGGGUAUUAGUAUCCUCUGAACUCCUCCUGCAAAACAGGGUCUGCUGUUUAUAGAUAAAGUACCUCUAAUACACAAGAGGUUAAACAGUACACCAAUAUGGUUGCAAUAGUUUGACCAUUAUAUCUAACCUAGCUUUUAAGUUACUUACGUUUAAUUAAACUUAAUUCAGGAAAACCCUUGUAUUUGACUCUAGUGUCAGAGGAAUCUCAACACAAUUUAGGAACACAAUUCUGCUAUAGUAAACCAUUUUUGGCUGUUGCCAAGGGUCUGUCUAAUGUAGGUCUGUUGCAACCAGUUGGACUGCUUGUAAUAUUUUCAGAUCUUGAGUCAGACUUCCAAAGAUCUGACAAAAUAUUACAAGCAGUCCCACUGGUUGCAACAGACUUCUUGAGUCAGACUUCCAAAGCCACAGUAUUCCUCUUUGUCAGUCAUUCUAGUGUUUGGUCACCUGCAAACAUUUUUGUAUUCGUCUUUGUGCGGAUAAGGCCACAUCCAAGAACAUCACUUCCAACUUGGUACUGAUCUACUUGUUUAGUAAUACGGUUAUUCCUCUCUGGCAGUACUGACUGACCACUUGCCCAUGGCAUUAUGUGUAGAUAUGGCAGCACAUAGUCUGAACAUUAAUAAUAUCUAGUUCUAUGCAUGUAUAUUUUUAAUGUGAUAGAAAUGUAACCAUAUACUCUGUCUUUCUGUAGUCUCUCAUUCCACCAUAGAUCUCACUUUUCCAAAUGUUCCUUAAAUAUAAUGCAUUUGUUCUACUUUUGGGUACGUGAUUAAUAUUAAUACGUGAAAUGCCAUUUCAUUAAAGAUGAACCUUUUUUCCACACAAUAUAUUUGUAUUUUUCUGGCAUAUAGUGCAGUACAGGUGAGAUGAUCUACCUUCAGGUAGACAAGUAACCUCUGCAUUAAAAUGCCAAUUUUUUUGGCAAUAACACUCCCCAUCAUGUCUUAAAUAACUGCUCUGAAACAAUGUCCCCAGUUCUUGCUUGUCCCAGUUUUGGGGUAGACGGAUCCUUUGUGUUUUGCUGAAGUUAUUUGUUAACAGAUGUUAAUUUCACUGUUUUUCUCCCCUUUCAGGUGGACGAUAUGUCAAAGUCUGGGACAUGCUGAAAGGUGGCCAAUUACUCGUGUCAUUAAGAAAUCAUCACAAAACCGUCACUUCGUUGUGUCUAAGCAGCUCUGGUCAGAGGCUGUUGUCUGGCUCCCUCGAUCGGUACGCACUACGCUUUCAUUUCUUUCCUUCUGCACUUUGAGAUAUUGUACUCGCAAGAGAACGUAGAUCACUCCUCCCCCCCCACCCCCCCCAAUAGACCUAUUAGUUUUUUUUACCCACUUGACAUAUCCAGAAUGAGCUUGCUCGAGUAUGUCUUCACUUUCACCACAUAUUCUAGAAAUAAUAUACUGUUUUUGUUGUGCCUGAAAUUCUAGUUCAUACUGGCAUCAAAUUUCCUUUUAAUGUAUGUUACCUUUGUAAUGAGGCUUUACUGUAACUUUUAUACAUUGUUUAAACACAGUAAGAGAACUGCUGGUGGUUUACCAGCUGUAAGUGAGUGAGGACCAUACAGUUGAAUAGUUCUAGAGUUCUGCUUGGUAACUUGUAGUAAUGUGAGCAGCAAUGGGGUUGCAGAUCCUGUGUGUCUGUGCACUAUUUCUCUGCAUGUUUUAUUGUGUUAUUGCAUGCCGUUUUAAUUGUGAGUUAAAGUAGGAACUGUUGUGUUUUUAUAACAGGCACGUGAAGAUCUACAGCACAAUGAACUAUAAAGUAGUUCACAGUUUUGACUACGCAGCCUCCAUUCUAAGCCUUGCGUUGGCGGUAAGUGUCAAAGUGCAUUUGAAUUUGUCUUUAUUUAUUUAUUUUUAUUUUUUUCCUUCUCGUAUUUUUGGCAUUUAUUUCUACUAUACAAGAAUGAACUUGCAUUAUUGAUUAUUGAUCAAGAAUAUUCAGGGGGCAACUAAUAAAUUAUAAAUUCUUGAUUUUUAUUAUAUAUGAUCAGUAAAUCCUUUCGCUUACACUUUUUUUUUUUUUUAUAAAUGGUAUUCUAGCCGGACGAUGAAAUGAUUGUAGUUGGAAUGACCAAUGGGGUGUUAAACAUUAAACACCGGAAACCUGCAGAAAAAAUUACCUCUCAAACUACCAAAAAGAGGCACCCACGCUACAGGAUGUUUGUCCGAGGCAAAGACUACAUGCCCAAACAGGUACUGUAAUAGCAAAUUAAAUCCUGUUCACCGGAUUGUGGGGCAGCUCGUAACUUUUGGUAAAUCACCCUGACCCUUUUCUGCUUAAAUUGGAGAAUUGUCAUUUGUUCAUGCUGUAAUGUCACUGUCCAUUCAGAGACUUGUAGUAUUUUUAUAACGCAAGUUGUUAAAUUCGCUCAGCAAACAUUCUCUUAAUAUUAACAUCAUACUCCGCUCUCACAAAAAUCAUUUGUUGAAAUUGUUUAAUAGAAUUUAUUUAUUUUUGUCGUGUUUGUCUUGUCAUUUUCUUUUCAGGACGACAUUUUUAUCAGUAAACCUGUAAGGGAACACUUAAAGAAAUACGACAAAUUGCUUAAAGGUUUUGAAGUGUCAAAGGCCCUCGAUGCAGUUUUGGAGGUAAGCAUGUGUGUCUCUUUUGUCUUUAUAGUGACUGUCUAUACACUGUUACGUUAAAUCAUUAGCACCAUUGAAGUUGGUAACAUACAAAAUUGCAACUGAUGUUAAUUGCAAGAUGGGGAUUUCAACUUUUUUAGGAGGCAAUGCUGCCAUACCAUCGCAAUUCAUUGUGUUCCUCUGUUAUUGAUUGUAUCAUAUUUCCCAUGACUAGACACAGAUCGGAAGAUAAUGAUUUGAAGAGGCAGAGCACCAAUAAUCACAUAGUAAUGCGUUGGAAUGUUACAAUGCAACCUUCUAUUGAAGCUUCCAAUUUGAUUAGUUUGGCCUGAAAUUUUGAAAUUCACUUUCAAUUCUCACCUUGGUAAAUUAAUUGUACUUAAACUAUUUGUGUAAAACCAGUAUCAUGCCCUCACUUUUCCUCAAUAAACCAAAAUACAUAAAGAGAAGUAGUUCAUGAAGUAACCUACAAACUGCUCAAUGUUUUUUUUUCUCUUCUCAAACGAUAAUCUUCUAAAGUGUUUUUUUUUUUUUUAAUGCUAGUUUAUAUCGAGAGAGAGAGAAAUAAAGUGUAAUCUCUGGUUUUUACUUGCUCCCUGGCUUUCCAGUCCCCACCAUUCUUACUAGAACUAUUGAGAAAGUGUAAUUAGAAAUCUAAUUCUUUUCAUGCUACAAUGUAGAAAAUCUGUAAAAUGUAUUUUGCAGAAGGCCAUGUGACUUUACCUACUAGAACAUGUUUUGUGGCAUUUGUAGGGUAUAGUAGGAAAAUACCUGACUUCACAUGCUUCCUGUCUUCCAAUCCACGAUUCUCAGACCACUGAUUUAGUGAAAGAACACGGUCUGUUAGCCAAGGCUGUACGAGUGCUUUUACUAUCAGCUGUGUAUCUGCACUUUGCAGGAUUUCUUCUAAUAAGAUUCCGUCCUCCCUUCAUCUUUCUUAGGCUCCACUUCGAAUCCAGAGGCCUGAAGUGACCGUAGCGGUUAUGAAUGAACUGAAGCGAAGAAGAACACUUAAAAAUGCUCUAGCUGGACGGGAUGAAAAACAACUCAACCUUCUUCUCACCUUCCUUCUGAAGUAAGACCGAGAUGUUACUCCUGAUCUCAAAUCUCACUUUUCAACAAUAAUGAUGGUUUGAUUGCUACUAAAGAUGUGGGUUUUUGGUUUUUUUUUUUUUCCUCAAACUAUUCUUAUGUAGUUAAAAUAACUUUACUUUCAGUGGUUUUGUGUAGUAGUGUUUAAGGUCGACAUGAGAUGUAGUUAACUGGCAACUCUUCAUUUUUCCUCUGAACAGAAAUCUGGUAGAACCAAGAUUUGGUCCAAUCUUAGUCCAUGUGGCAGACCAAGUUAUAGGUAAGUGUAUGCUUUCAAUGACAAUCUUAAAAGGAAGGGGUGGGGGGAUGAUGUGUGUGAGGGUGCUGUGAUUUGUUUGAGGGUUUGUGUGUUCUCAUUAUAUGAAUCAAAAAAGAGAAGGCAAGAAAAACAAACCAAAGGCAAUGGGUUAUGUGAGCAGCACACUAUGACUGGCAAUGCAAAACAGAGCCAGACAUGCAGCCACCCAUUUAAAAAUGUCCCUGACAUUCCUAUAUACCCACUCACUAGGAGAGAAAUACAUUUCUCAUCUGGUACACUGAUUAGUAAUGCAAAAAUGUUUUUGAAGUUCCAGUAGAGCUUUGAUCAAACACAAUAAGUACGUGUGACCAUGGCAACUUUAGUAAUUGAUAUCUUUGCUAUCUGCAUAGUGAUGCCUCUUGGAUAAGAAAAUCAUUGGCGUGGCCAGACUCAUAACACUGCAGUUAUUAAAGAAGCGUUAGGCAAAUCACCUAGGGUCCAAUCGCCACAUGUCUCCGUCUCCCAUGCUCCAGUGUCAGCUGAGUGCUCGUUAAUGAUGAGGCUUGGCGGCAGAGCUUCCAACGGCAAAGCAGGCAGUUCUCCAAUGGCUUGUUUACUCUGGGAGGGCACUAGAGGGCUUGGUUUUUUACAUAUUUUAAAAAAAUUAGGUUAAUUUUUUUUGUUCCUUUCUGAAAACACAACUAUUCCAAAGAUUUUUAUUUUUAUUUAUUUAUUUUACUUCCAGAUAUCUAUGGACCAAUUUUUGGGAAGUCUCCGUUAAUUGAUAAGCAGUUUCUAAAGCUCCAAGAACUACUCGACAAAGAAAUCAAUUACCAAGAAGAGCUACUAGAAGUUUUAGGCAUGAUGGACACUCUCUUUGCAACAAUGACUAUGAAAAAGGAAACGUCCCUUGCAGUAGACAAACCAGUUGAUGUUUUAAAGCCUGUGCAGAGCAGCCAACCUGCUCCCAUGCAAACUGUCUGAUCUGAGACUUCUAGAAAAUGACUUUAACACAUGUUUUUGUACCACAUUUUAACAGUUACCUGGUGAAAACAUUCAGCCUAUGCAAAUAUCUUAUCCCCCAAGUCAGCAGAAUUUUCUUUUCAGUUAGAAAAGGAAGGCAAAGACUCUUAUUUGUACAAUUUUAAAGACUGUUCUUGUUUGCUCGGGGUACACAAUAUGUUUUUACAUAAAGUAUUGUUUUCUGAACUUUCAAAAACCUGAUCUUUUUAAAGACCUCAUUACGGGUAACGGUUACCUGUUGCAUGGUGUAAAUUAAAAAAAAAUGUAUUAAACUCCUGACAGCAAUAAUUUUCUAAACUUAGAGGACCACUAUAGGCACCCAGAUCGCUUCAGCUCAAUGAGGUCCCCCUAGUUUGAACUCUGCAGCUGAAAACAUAGCAGUUUCAGUUUACACUGCAGUGUUAAUCCAGCCUCUAGUGGCUGUCUCCCUGACAGCCACUAGAGGCUGCUUCCGUGAUUUACACUGAGUAAAUUGCACUUAUUUGUUGCAGGACGUCCUCACUGAGUCCCGCGUCAAAUAAGAUCCCCAUAGGAAGGCAUUGAGUAAUGCUUUCUUAUGGGUGGGUUUGAAUGUGUGCGCGCCUCUGGCCGUGAAUGAACAUUCGGCUCUACUUGGGAACUGACGGCGGCGGGGGAGGAGAGGUCCCCAGCGGUGAAUUAAGGUAAGUGGCUGGAGGGAUUUUAACGGGUUUGUUUUCCUGGCACUAUAGGAUCCCUUUUAAUUGUAAGUUCUAUCAUAUUAAGUUUAAAUAAAGAUUGAGUGAGGAUCAUCGGUAAGAGCAGAGUUAGAAAUACUUGAUUUGUUGUAAAAAUUGAAAAUCCUUUUUUAAAAGUAUUAAUAGUUUGCUAAAUUAAGUAAAUGAGACAUGUCAUAAUUGUCAGUGUGUGAAGUCUAAUGCGAGUUAAAUAUUUUUGCACUCCAGCAUCUAUCCUGGUAUAAUAUUAAAAGUAGAGCAGAGGGAACAGUUUGUG
Pelobates cultripes (western spadefoot toad) is the source of this 15693-nucleotide non-coding RNA. The record is from the annotation of a GenBank genome assembly. NCBI's taxonomy places the organism in Eukaryota, Metazoa, Chordata, Amphibia, Anura, Pelobatidae.